RNAcentral lists this ribosomal RNA (253 nucleotides) under uncultured bacterium. RNAcentral describes it as "partial 16S ribosomal RNA". It matches the Rfam family "Bacterial small subunit ribosomal RNA", at positions 524 to 776 of the family's 1533-position model. The record is from RNAcentral.
UACGGAGGGGGCGAGUGUUGUUCGGAAUUACUGGGCGUAAAGGGCUCGUAGGCGGCCAACUAAGUCAUACGUGAAAUCCCUCAGCUUAACUGGGGAACUGCGUGUGAUACUGGAUGGCUUGGAUUUGGGAGAGGGAUGCGGAAUUCCAGGUGUAGCGGUGAAAUGCGUAGAUAUCUGGAGGAACACCGGUGGCGAAGGCGGCAUCCUGGACCAAUAUUGACGCUGAGGAGCGAAAGCUAGGGGAGCAAACGGG